This 759-nucleotide long non-coding RNA is filed under the name Homo sapiens (human). Its description in RNAcentral is "HSALNT0396864". Lineage: Eukaryota; Metazoa; Chordata; Mammalia; Primates; Hominidae. The record is from RNAcentral.
UCUGCCUGCACCCAUGUGAUUAAAAAGCUUUAUUGCUCACACAAAGCCUGUUUGGUUAUCUCUUCACACAGACAUGCGUGACAUUUGGUGCUGAAGACCCGGGAUGGGGGACUCCUUCGGGAGACUGGUCCCCUGUCCUCACCCUCACUCCAUGAGGAGAUCCACCUACAACCUCGGGUCCUCAGUCCAACCAGCCUAAGGAACAUCUCACCAAUUUCAAAUCAGAUCUUGGCUUAGUGGCUGAAGACUGAUGCUGCCCAAUUACCUCGGAAGCCUCCUGGACCAUCACAGAUACUUUGAGUAAUCUCUUAUAGUGGAAGCACGAUGCAUCAAACCAUACCAUGGCAUGCCUAGGACCCAACCCCAUAUCAGAAAUGAAGAAACUGACCUUACAGUACCCGCAGCCCUGAACAAAGCAGCUUCCACAGAUGACACAAGCCCCGGACCUGGGGGAUGCUGAAGAGGACAACUCAGGAGGCUGAACGAAUCCUGCUCUGGACACUGACACCAAUUACUCCAGGAAAUUUUUUCCUUGCUAUGCUUUCUGUGUAUAUUGCAACUCACAUAGGGUAUUGAUCCUUUUUGUACUCUUGCUUUGCUGGCCACCUGUACCUGCUACACUCUAUUAGGCUCAUACUUGAACCCACCUUUCUUUUGCCCUGUCACCUGGGGAGACAUCCCCUUCCCAGCCUUUAAUAAUGUAACUGCUGGCCGGGCGCGGUGGCUCACGCCUGUAAUCCCAGCACUUUGGGAGGCCGA